ACAGUCUGAAAAUUACUCCAGUUGUCUUAGUUUUCUGGAGUAAGAUAACUGUGCCAACAUAAAAUUGGUACAUUUAGCUUAUUGUCAGCUUAUAUAGCUGCACAAUGAAACCCAUGUGCCUACACCC
Molecule: small nucleolar RNA, 127 nt
Organism: Astyanax mexicanus (Mexican tetra)
Lineage: Eukaryota; Metazoa; Chordata; Actinopteri; Characiformes; Acestrorhamphidae
Source: Ensembl